RNAcentral lists this ribosomal RNA (470 nucleotides) under uncultured organism. RNAcentral's name for it is "partial 16S ribosomal RNA". It matches the Rfam family "Bacterial small subunit ribosomal RNA", at positions 335 to 797 of the family's 1533-position model. The record is from RNAcentral.
ACUCCUGCGGGAGGCAGCAGUGGGGAAUAUUGCACAAUGGGCGCAAGCCUGAUGCAGCCAUGCCGCGUGUAUGAAGAAGGCCUUCGGGUUGUAAAGUACUUUCAGCGGGGAGGAAGGCGAUAAGGUUAAUAACCUUGUCGAUUGACGUUACCCGCAGAAGAAGCACCGGCUAACUCCGUGCCAGCAGCCGCGGUAAUACGGAGGGUGCAAGCGUUAAUCGGAAUUACUGGGCGUAAAGCGCACGCAGGCGGUCUGUCAAGUCGGAUGUGAAAUCCCCGGGCUCAACCUGGGAACUGCAUUCGAAACUGGCAGGCUAGAGUCUUGUAGAGGGGGGUAGAAUUCCAGGUGUAGCGGUGAAAUGCGUAGAGAUCUGGAGGAAUACCGGUGGCGAAGGCGGCCCCCUGGACAAAGACUGACGCUCAGGUGCGAAAGCGUGGGGAGCAAACAGGAUUAGAUACCCCGGUAGUCCC